Molecule: ribosomal RNA, 511 nt
Filed under: uncultured bacterium
Lineage: Bacteria
Description: bacterial SSU rRNA
Rfam family: Bacterial small subunit ribosomal RNA
Source: RNAcentral
UUGACAUGUGUAUCGCGGUUCCAGAGAUGGUUCCUUCAGUUCGGCUGGAUACAACACAGGUGCUGCAUGGCUGUCGUCAGCUCGUGUCGUGAGAUGUUCGGUUAAGUCCGGCAACGAGCGCAACCCACAUUCUUAGUUGCCAGCAUUCAGUUGGGCACUCUAGGAAAACUGCCGAUGAUAAGUCGGAGGAAGGUGUGGAUGACGUCAAGUCCUCAUGGCCCUUACGGGUUGGGCUACACACGUGCUACAAUGGUAGUGACAAUGGGUUAAUCCCAAAAAGCUAUCUCAGUUCGGAUUGGGGUCUGCAACUCGACCCCAUGAAGUCGGAAUCGCUAGUAAUCGCGUAACAGCAUGACCGCGGUCGAAUACGUUCCCGGGCCUUGUACACACCGCCCGUCACACCAUGGGAGUUGGGUCUACCCGAAGGCGGUGCGCCAACCAGCAAUGGAGGCAGCCGACCACGGUAGGCUCAGCGACUGGGGUGAAGUCGUAACAAGGUAAGCGUAGUGCU